Orcinus orca (killer whale) is the source of this 502-nucleotide long non-coding RNA. RefSeq lists it as uncharacterized. The record is from RefSeq and is a predicted model, not a curated record. The transcript has 5 exons. NCBI's taxonomy places the organism in Eukaryota, Metazoa, Chordata, Mammalia, Artiodactyla, Delphinidae.
GAGUUCAUUUCACCGCUUCCUGGAGCGAAGCAGUCUGUUGCCGUCCUGUCGGCUGGCUCUGGCCUCACAGCAGGAAGGACCUCUCUCCCAAAAUCUCACGGUACUGAAGAUCCCACUCUACCCACGACCCAUGGGAACAGAACAGACCAGCAGGUAGUCGGCCAACCCCCGAGCCAGACUAAGGGCCCUGCACAGGGAUCACUGCAGUAGGAAAGCACAAGACGGAGGCGAAAAGGAAUCUCGUGGCAGCAAGACCGUGCUCCGUACACUGAACGAAGAUCACUGUUAGCCAUCUUCUUGGUCACCAUACCUGGUCCUACAGAUGGACGCUGUCUUUGGGCCAGACCCAAGUGCUUGGAAUGCUGAGCUAGAGCGGAUCAAGUUUAAGGUCCCUUCUAAGCCGGGGCCAGCAAAUAAGGAGCCAGAUGAUCCUGUUAAUGCCGGGCCAAGGUGGGAGUCCCCGGUGGGCACCAAACUUCAAGGAUGUAAAAGUCAGUGUCUG